UACCAGCUCUCCGAGUGGUGUGGAUGUUUAUUGGGCCUAAAGCAUCCGUAGCUGGCUGGACAAGUCCCCUGUUAAAUCCACCGAUUUAAUCGUUGGUCUGCGGGGGAUACUGUUCGGCUAGGGGACGGGAGAGGCCGACGGUAUUUCCGGGGUAGGGGUGAAAUCCUAUAAUCCCGGGAGGACCACCAGUGGCGAAGGCUAUUGACUAGAACGCGCUCGACGGUGAGGGACGAAUGCUGGGGGAGCGAACCGGAUUAGAUACCCGGGUAGUCCCAGCUGUAAACGAUGCAGGCUAGGUGUUUGGGCGGCCACGGGCCGCUCUAGUGCCGCAGGGAAGCUGUUAAGCCUGCCGCCUGGGGAGUACGGCCGUAAGGCUGAAACUUAAAGGAAUUGGCGGGGGAGCACCACAAGGGGUGAAGCUUGCGGUUU
RNAcentral lists this ribosomal RNA (429 nucleotides) under uncultured archaeon. RNAcentral describes it as "bacterial SSU rRNA". It matches the Rfam family "Archaeal small subunit ribosomal RNA", at positions 474 to 903 of the family's 1478-position model. The record is from RNAcentral.